UUAAGCGACUAAGCGUACACGGUGGAUGCCCUGGCAGUCAGAGGCGAUGAAGGACGUGCUAAUCUGCGAUAAGCGUCGGUAAGGUGAUAUGAACCGUUAUAACCGGCGAUUUCCGAAUGGGGAAACCCAGUGUGAUUCGUCACACUAUCAUUAACUGAAUCCAUAGGUUAAUGAGGCGAACCGGGGGAACUGAAACAUCUAAGUACCCCGAGGAAAAGAAAUCAACCGAGAUUCCCCCAGUAGCGGCGAGCGAACGGGGAGCAGCCCAGAGCCUGAAUCAGUGUGUGUGUUAGUGGAAGCGUCUGGAAAGGCGCGCGAUACAGGGUGACAGCCCCGUACACAAAAAUGCACAUGCUGUGAGCUCGAUGAGUAGGGCGGGACACGUGGUAUCCUGUCUGAAUAUGGGGGGACCAUCCUCCAAGGCUAAAUACUCCUGACUGACCGAUAGUGAACCAGUACCGUGAGGGAAAGGCGAAAAGAACCCCGGCGAGGGGAGUGAAAAAGAACCUGAAACCGUGUACGUACAAGCAGUGGGAGCACAGAGCAAUCUGUGUGACUGCGUACCUUUUGUAUAAUGGGUCAGCGACUUAUAUUCUGUAGCAAGGUUAACCGAAUAGGGGAGCCGAAGGGAAACCGAGUCUUAACUGGGCGUUAAGUUGCAGGGUAUAGACCCGAAACCCGGUGAUCUAGCCAUGGGCAGGUUGAAGGUUGGGUAACACUAACUGGAGGACCGAACCGACUAAUGUUGAAAAAUUAGCGGAUGACUUGUGGCUGGGGGUGAAAGGCCAAUCAAACCGGGAGAUAGCUGGUUCUCCCCGAAAGCUAUUUAGGUAGCGCCUCGUGAAUUCAUCUCCGGGGGUAGAGCACUGUUUCGGCAAGGGGGUCAUCCCGACUUACCAACCCGAUGCAAACUGCGAAUACCGGAGAAUGUUAUCACGGGAGACACACGGCGGGUGCUAACGUCCGUCGUGAAGAGGGAAACAACCCAGACCGCCAGCUAAGGUCCCAAAGUCAUGGUUAAGUGGGAAACGAUGUGGGAAGGCCCAGACAGCCAGGAUGUUGGCUUAGAAGCAGCCAUCAUUUAAAGAAAGCGUAAUAGCUCACUGGUCGAGUCGGCCUGCGCGGAAGAUGUAACGGGGCUAAACCAUGCACCGAAGCUGCGGCAGCGACGCUGAUGCGUUGUUGGGUAGGGGAGCGUUCUGUAAGCCUGUGAAGGUGUGCUGUGAGGCAUGCUGGAGGUAUCAGAAGUGCGAAUGCUGACAUAAGUAACGAUAAAGCGGGUGAAAAGCCCGCUCGCCGGAAGACCAAGGGUUCCUGUCCAACGUUAAUCGGGGCAGGGUGAGUCGACCCCUAAGGCGAGGCCGAAAGGCGUAGUCGAUGGGAAACAGGUUAAUAUUCCUGUACUUGGUGUUACUGCGAAGGGGGGACGGAGAAGGCUAUGUUGGCCGGGCGACGGUUGUCCCGGUUUAAGCGUGUAGGCUGGUUUUCCAGGCAAAUCCGGAAAAUCAAGGCUGAGGCGUGAUGACGAGGCACUACGGUGCUGAAGCAACAAAUGCCCUGCUUCCAGGAAAAGCCUCUAAGCAUCAGGUAACAUCAAAUCGUACCCCAAACCGACACAGGUGGUCAGGUAGAGAAUACCAAGGCGCUUGAGAGAACUCGGGUGAAGGAACUAGGCAAAAUGGUGCCGUAACUUCGGGAGAAGGCACGCUGAUAUGUAGGUGAAGCGACUUGCUCGUGGAGCUGAAAUCAGUCGAAGAUACCAGCUGGCUGCAACUGUUUAUUAAAAACACAGCACUGUGCAAACACGAAAGUGGACGUAUACGGUGUGACGCCUGCCCGGUGCCGGAAGGUUAAUUGAUGGGGUCAGCGCAAGCGAAGCUCUUGAUCGAAGCCCCGGUAAACGGCGGCCGUAACUAUAACGGUCCUAAGGUAGCGAAAUUCCUUGUCGGGUAAGUUCCGACCUGCACGAAUGGCGUAAUGAUGGCCAGGCUGUCUCCACCCGAGACUCAGUGAAAUUGAACUCGCUGUGAAGAUGCAGUGUACCCGCGGCAAGACGGAAAGACCCCGUGAACCUUUACUAUAGCUUGACACUGAACAUUGAGCCUUGAUGUGUAG
Molecule: ribosomal RNA, 2115 nt
Filed under: Escherichia coli
Lineage: Bacteria; Pseudomonadati; Pseudomonadota; Gammaproteobacteria; Enterobacterales; Enterobacteriaceae
Description: bacterial LSU rRNA
Rfam family: Bacterial large subunit ribosomal RNA
Source: RNAcentral